RNAcentral lists this long non-coding RNA (403 nucleotides) under Carica papaya (papaya). Its description in RNAcentral is "long non-coding RNA (CPAP_LNC007506)". Lineage: Eukaryota; Viridiplantae; Streptophyta; Magnoliopsida; Brassicales; Caricaceae. The record is from RNAcentral.
UAAGUACUUUUAAACUUUUCUAGCCAGUUUAGGGUUUCGACACGGCGCUGCCUCCGUCGCCCACGACGAUGUUUCUUCUUAGCCUGGCCGUUUUCGGUUAGUUUUGGUUGGGUUUGGCCAGUUUUGCAUAAAAACCUGCGAAAACAAGGUUAGGGAGCCUCUAUCGGCCGGAAAAUGGAGGUCCUACUGACAGAGGGUUUCUCUAGUGCGAUGGCUCUGCCGUUUCUCUAUUGCGGUCAGGGUUUCUCAUCAGCUAACCUGCAUCAGAAAGAGACGAGGAACACUUGGUCAAAGAAUCAAAACAAAUGAAAAAUGGGAAGGGGCUCAUCAGAGAGGUUUUCGGGUUACGGCUGCGGCGAUUCGACCGAGCUCUGUUCGCAUUUUUCAGCUCACCUGUUGGCUG